GGCAAGAUGGCCGAGCGGUCUAAGGCGCCGCACUCAAGUUUCACAACUUAUCACAUCAAAUGUGGUUUGCGGUCUCGAAAGAGGCGUGGGUUCAAAUCCCACUCUUGUCA
Molecule: transfer RNA, 110 nt
Filed under: Ascodesmis nigricans
Lineage: Eukaryota; Fungi; Ascomycota; Pezizomycetes; Pezizales; Ascodesmidaceae
Rfam family: tRNA
About the family: Transfer RNA (tRNA) molecules are approximately 80 nucleotides in length. Their secondary structure includes four short double-helical elements and three loops (D, anti-codon, and T loops). Further hydrogen bonds mediate the characteristic L-shaped molecular structure. tRNAs have two regions of fundamental functional importance: the anti-codon, which is responsible for specific mRNA codon recognition, and the 3' end, to which the tRNAs corresponding amino acid is attached (by aminoacyl-tRNA synthetases). tRNAs cope with the degeneracy of the genetic code in two manners: having more than one tRNA (with a specific anti-codon) for a particular amino acid; and 'wobble' base-pairing, i.e. permitting non-standard base-pairing at the 3rd anti-codon position.
Source: Rfam by way of RNAcentral